This 303-nucleotide ribosomal RNA is filed under the name uncultured bacterium. RNAcentral's name for it is "partial 16S ribosomal RNA". It matches the Rfam family "Bacterial small subunit ribosomal RNA", at positions 507 to 809 of the family's 1533-position model. The record is from RNAcentral.
AGCAGUAGCCACGGUAAAACGGAGGGGGCUAGCGUUGUUCGGAAUUACUGGGCGUAAAGCGCACGUAGGCGGCUUUGUAAGUUAGAGGUGAAAGCCUGGAGCUCAACUCCAGAAUUGCCUUUAAGACUGCAUCGCUUGAAUCGCGGAGAGGUGAGUGGAAUCCCGAGUGUAGAGGUGAAAUUCGUAGAUAUUCGGAAGAACACCAGUGGCGAAGGCGGCUCACUGGACGCGUAUUGACGCUGAGGUGCGAAAGCGUGGGGAGCAAACAGGAUUAGAUACCCGGGUAGUCCCUGUCUCUUAUAA